GACGAACGCUGGCGGCGUGCUUAACACAUGCAAGUCGAACGAUGAAGCCGGAGCUUGCUCUGGUGAAUUAGUGGCGAACGGGUGAGUAACACGUGAGUAACCUGCCCUUGACUCUGGGAUAACUGCGGGAAACUGUAGCUAAUACCGGAUACGACCCUCGGAGGCAUCUCCUGGGGGUGGAAAGAAUUUCGGUCAAGGAUGGACUCGCGGCCUAGCAGCUAGUUGGUGAGGUAAAGGCUCACCAAGGGGACGACGGGUAGCCGGCCUGAGAGGGUGACCGGCCACACAGGGACUGAGAGACGGCCCAGACUCCUACAGGAGGCAGCAGUGGGGAAUACUGCACAAUGGGCGCAAGCCUGAUGCAGCAGCGCCGCGUGAGGGAUGACGAGCUUCGGGUUGUAAACCUCUUUUAGCAGGGAAGAAGCGAAAGUGACGGUACCUGCAGAAAAAGCACCGGCUAACUACGUGCCAGCCGCCGCCGUAA
RNAcentral lists this ribosomal RNA (484 nucleotides) under uncultured bacterium. Its description in RNAcentral is "partial 16S ribosomal RNA". It matches the Rfam family "Bacterial small subunit ribosomal RNA", at positions 28 to 523 of the family's 1533-position model. The record is from RNAcentral.